GUCUCCAGAUAAAAUGAUUCGACGCAUCAACGGCACGCCAAAGCCGACGAACCGCAGCGAGGAAAGAUGAAGUCGCUCGUACUCCUGUGCCUUGCGGUGACGGCCUUCACUUGUCGCUCGGUUGAAGCGGCCGAUUGUCCCGAUGGCAGUUCCUGUGACGAUUCUCAAACGUGUUGCAUACUGAGGAAUGGGACCUAUGGCUGUUGCCAGUAUGCGGACGCAGUCUGCUGCUGCGAUAAAACGCAUUGUUGUCCCAGUGACUACGUUUGUGACAUAUCGACCUCGUCUUGUCGUCAGGGGAACAGAUCGAUGAAAUGGGCUGAAAAAGUUCCAGCUCUUCGAUGAAGUCAUCACGAU
RNA transcript from Galendromus occidentalis (western predatory mite), 357 nucleotides. RefSeq lists it as uncharacterized. The transcript is spliced from 3 exons. The record is from RefSeq and is a predicted model, not a curated record. Lineage: Eukaryota; Metazoa; Arthropoda; Arachnida; Mesostigmata; Phytoseiidae.